GUGGAUGUAGCUCAGUCGGUUAGAGCACCAGGUUGUGGCCCUGGGGGUCGAGGGUUCAAGUCCCUUCAUUCACCCCA
Molecule: transfer RNA, 77 nt
Filed under: Myxococcaceae bacterium
Lineage: Bacteria; Pseudomonadati; Myxococcota; Myxococcia; Myxococcales; Myxococcaceae
Description: tRNA-His
Rfam family: tRNA
About the family: Transfer RNA (tRNA) molecules are approximately 80 nucleotides in length. Their secondary structure includes four short double-helical elements and three loops (D, anti-codon, and T loops). Further hydrogen bonds mediate the characteristic L-shaped molecular structure. tRNAs have two regions of fundamental functional importance: the anti-codon, which is responsible for specific mRNA codon recognition, and the 3' end, to which the tRNAs corresponding amino acid is attached (by aminoacyl-tRNA synthetases). tRNAs cope with the degeneracy of the genetic code in two manners: having more than one tRNA (with a specific anti-codon) for a particular amino acid; and 'wobble' base-pairing, i.e. permitting non-standard base-pairing at the 3rd anti-codon position.
Source: RNAcentral